This 484-nucleotide ribosomal RNA is filed under the name uncultured bacterium. RNAcentral describes it as "partial 16S ribosomal RNA". It matches the Rfam family "Bacterial small subunit ribosomal RNA", at positions 30 to 507 of the family's 1533-position model. The record is from RNAcentral.
AUUGAACGCUGGCGGCAGGCCUAACACAUGCAAGUCGAGCGGAUGAAGGGAGCUUGCUCCUGGAUUCAGCGGCGGACGGGUGAGUAAUGCCUAGGAAUCUGCCUGGUAGUGGGGGAUAACGUCCGGAAACGGGCGCUAAUACCGCAUACGUCCUGAGGGAGAAAGUGGGGGAUCUUCGGACCUCACGCUAUCAGAUGAGCCUAGGUCGGAUUAGCUAGUUGGUGGGGUAAAGGCCUACCAAGGCGACGAUCCGUAACUGGUCUGAGAGGAUGAUCAGUCACACCGGAAACUGGACACCGUCCCGACUCCCACGGGAGGGAGGCGGGGGGAAUAUUGGACAAUGGGCGAAAGCCUGAUCCAGCCAUGCCGCGUGUGUGAAGAAGGUCUUCGGAUUGUAAAGCACUUUAAGUUGGGAGGAAGGGCAGUAAGUUAAUACCUUGCUGUUUUGACGUUACCAACAGAAUAAGCACCGGCUAACUUCGUG